UACGAAGGGUGCAAGCGUUACUCGGAAUCACUGGGCGUAAAGCGUGCGUAGGCGGUUCGUUAAGUCUGCUGUGAAAGCCCUGGGCUCAACCUGGGAACUGCAGUGGAUACUGGCGGACUAGAGUGUGAUAGAGGAUGGUGGAAUUCCCGGUGUAGCGGUGAAAUGCGUAGAGAUCGGGAGGAACACCAGUGGCGAAGGCGGCCAUCUGGAUCAACACUGACGCUGAGGCACGAAAGCGUGGGGAGCAAACAGGAGUUAG
This 259-nucleotide ribosomal RNA is filed under the name uncultured bacterium. RNAcentral describes it as "partial 16S ribosomal RNA". It matches the Rfam family "Bacterial small subunit ribosomal RNA", at positions 524 to 781 of the family's 1533-position model. The record is from RNAcentral.